RNAcentral lists this ribosomal RNA (835 nucleotides) under Salmonella enterica. RNAcentral's name for it is "partial 23S ribosomal RNA". It matches the Rfam family "Bacterial large subunit ribosomal RNA", at positions 1 to 867 of the family's 2925-position model. Lineage: Bacteria; Pseudomonadati; Pseudomonadota; Gammaproteobacteria; Enterobacterales; Enterobacteriaceae. The record is from RNAcentral.
GGGUUGUGAGGUUAAGCGACUAAGCGUACACGGUGGAUGCCCUGGCAGUCAGAGGCGAUGAAGGACGUGCUAAUCUGCGAUAAGCGCCGGUAAGGUGAUAUGAACCGUUAUAACCGGCGAUUUCCGAAUGGGGAAACCCAGUGUGACUCGUCACACUAUCAUUAACUGAAUCCAUAGGUUAAUGAGGCGAACCGGGGGAACUGAAACAUCUAAGUACCCCGAGGAAAAGAAAUCAACCGAGAUUCCCCCAGUAGCGGCGAGCGAACGGGGAGGAGCCCAGAGCCUGAAUCAGCAUGUGUGUUAGUGGAAGCGUCUGGAAAGGCGCGCGAUACAGGGUGACAGCCCCGUACACAAAAGCGCAUGUGCUGUGAGCUCGAUGAGUAGGGCGGGACACGUGGUAUCCUGUCUGAAUAUGGGGGGACCAUCCUCCAAGGCUAAAUACUCCUGACUGACCGAUAGUGAACCAGUACCGUGAGGGAAAGGCGAAAAGAACCCCGGCGAGGGGAGUGAAAAAGAACCUGAAACCGUGUACGUACAAGCAGUGGGAGCACAGGUUUACCUGUGUGACUGCGUACCUUUUGUAUAAUGGGUCAGCGACUUAUAUUCUGUAGCAAGGUUAACCGAAUAGGGGAGCCGGAGGGAAACCGAGUCUUAAUUGGGCGUUAAGUUGCAGGGUAUAGACCCGAAACCCGGUGAUCUAGCCAUGGGCAGGUUGAAGGUUGGGUAACACUAACUGGAGGACCGAACCGACUAAUGUUGAAAAAUUAGCGGAUGACCUGUGGCUGGGGGUGAAAGGCCAAUCAAACCGGGAGAUAGCUGGUUCUCCCCGAAAGCU